GCCAGCGUGGCCUAGUGGUUUGAGCACUGGACCGGGACAUUGGGACACCAGGGUUCAAAUCCCCGCUUGGGCA
This is a non-coding RNA of Phrynosoma platyrhinos (Desert horned lizard), 73 nucleotides long. Lineage: Eukaryota; Metazoa; Chordata; Lepidosauria; Squamata; Phrynosomatidae. The record is from the annotation of a GenBank genome assembly.